This 426-nucleotide ribosomal RNA is filed under the name uncultured bacterium. RNAcentral's name for it is "bacterial SSU rRNA". It matches the Rfam family "Bacterial small subunit ribosomal RNA", at positions 107 to 509 of the family's 1533-position model. The record is from RNAcentral.
UGAGUAACGCGUAGGCAACCUGCCGUUGAGAUGGGGACAACAUCCCGAAAGGGGUGCUAAUACCGAAUGUUGUGGAAGUCUCGCAUGGGACAUCCACUAAAGAUGACCUCUAUUUAUAAGUUAUCGCUCAACGAUGGGCCUGCGUCUGAUUAGCUAGUUGGUGGGGCAACGGCCUACCAAGGCGACGAUCAGUAGCCGGUCUGAGAGGAUGAACGGCCACAUUGGAACUGAGACACGGUCCAGACUCCUACGGGAGGCAGCAGUGGGGAAUCUUCCGCAAUGGGCGAAAGCCUGACGGAGCAACGCCGCGUGAGUGAAGAAGGCCUUCGGGUCGUAAAGCUCUGUUGAAGGGGACGAAUGUUAGUCUUAUCAACAACGAGACUAAAUGACGGUACCUUUCGAGGAAGCCACGGCUAACUACGUGCC